UGGUAGUNCACGCCGUAAACGAUGAGUGCUAGGUGUUAGGCCCUUUCCGGGGCUUAGUGCCGGAGCUAACGCAAUAAGCACUCCGCCUGGGGAGUACGACCGCAAGGUUGAAACUCAAAGGAAUUGACGGGGGCCCGCACAAGCGGUGGAGCAUGUGGUUUAAUUCGAAGCAACGCGAAGAACCUUACCAGGUCUUGACAUCCCGAUGCUAUUCUUAGAGAUAGGAAGUUACUUCGGUACAUCGGAGACAGGUGGUGCAUGGUUGUCGUCAGCUCGUGUCGUGAGAUGUUGGGUUAAGUCCCGCAACGAGCGCAACCCUUAUUGUUAGUUGCCAUCAUUAAGUUGGGCACUCUAGCGAGACUGCCGGUAAUAAACCGGAGGAAGGUGGGGAUGACGUCAAAUCAUCAUGCCCCUUAUGACCUGGGCUACACACGUGCUACAAUGGUCGGUACAACGAGUUGCGAGCCGGUGACGGCAAGCUAAUCUCUGAAAGCCGAUCUCAGUUCGGAUUGGAGGCUGCAACUCGCCUCCAUGAAGUCGGAAUCGCUAGUAAUCGCGGAUCAGCACGCCGCGGUGAAUACGUUCCCGGGCCUUGUACACACCGCCCGUCACACCACGAGAGUCUGUAACACCCGAAGUCGGUGAGGUAACCUUUUAGGGNC
RNAcentral lists this ribosomal RNA (662 nucleotides) under uncultured bacterium. RNAcentral describes it as "bacterial SSU rRNA". It matches the Rfam family "Bacterial small subunit ribosomal RNA", at positions 788 to 1449 of the family's 1533-position model. The record is from RNAcentral.